GACGAACGCUGGCGGCGUGCUUAACACAUGCAAGUCGAACGGAAAGGCCCUGCUUUUGUGGGGUGCUCGAGUGGCGAACGGGUGAGUAACACGUGAGUAACCUGCCCUUGACUUUGGGAUAACUUCAGGAAACUGGGGCUCAUACCGGAUAGGAGCUCCUGCUGCAUGGUGGGGGUUGGAUAGUUUCGGCGGUUGGGGAUGGACUCGCGGCUUAUCAGCUUGUUGGUGGGGUAGUGGCUUACCAAGGCUUUGACGGGUAGCCGGCCUGAGAGGGUGACCGGCCCCAUUGGGCCUGAGAUACGGCACAGACUCCUACGGGAGGCAGCGGUGGGGAAUAUUGUACAAUGGGAGGAAGCCUGAUGCAGCACAGCCGCGUGGGGGAUGACGGCAUGCGGGUUGGAAUCCGCUGUCGCCUGUGACGAAGCGUGAGUGACGGUAAUGGGUAAAGAAGCACCGGCUAACUACGUG
Molecule: ribosomal RNA, 468 nt
Filed under: uncultured bacterium
Lineage: Bacteria
Description: partial 16S ribosomal RNA
Rfam family: Bacterial small subunit ribosomal RNA
Source: RNAcentral